GGCGCGGUAGCUUAGUUGGUAAAGCGCUCGUCUAGCAUACAAGAGUCCUGGGUUCAAAUCCCAGCCGAGCAC
Non-coding RNA from Aedes aegypti (yellow fever mosquito), 72 nucleotides. The record is from Rfam. NCBI's taxonomy places the organism in Eukaryota, Metazoa, Arthropoda, Insecta, Diptera, Culicidae.